CUUGGAGAACUUGUAAAAGCAUAGCUUGUUGCUCCAUCCCCAGAGUUUUGGACUCAGUAAAUCCAGGGUGGUGCCAGAGAAUUUGCACUUAUUGAAAGUUUUCAGAUGUUGAUGCUGUGAUCCAGGUAACACUCUUUGAGAAUUACUGUUGUAUAUUUUCAUUAUACUUGAUAGAAAGUAAAUAUGUUUUAAAUGAAGAAGGAAGAAUGUUGAUUACAAGGAGAGAUGGUAAACAGAAAGUAGGUUGAAAAUUAAUAUAAUUAUACCCCUCUUUUAUAUACUUGAUAUACAGCAAUCCAUAUUCACAGUCAUUUUUCCAGAGAACUCUUCAUCUGAUUUAGGAUGUUGAUAAUGUGCUAUGAAUAGUUGAGUUUGCAAAGCAUAAGAGGGAAUCCUUGUGGAAGAUAUGAAUGUCCUUUCAAAUUCUUGUCCUCCACAAUUGAGAAAGUUAACUUCUGAGUUUCUUUACUUGUUUACUUGUAAAUUGGGCAUGAACACAACUACAUUGCACUCUCCAGAAGAUGAAAGGAGAUAACAUAGAGUAGUUUUUCUCAAAAUUUUCACUACUAUCUUUCAUGGAAAAUAGAACAAGAAUUUGGAAAAACCCCAAAGAAAACAUUGGAGAGCUGUUUUAUUGAGGUGUCCUCUUUCGUAUCUGAUAAUGAAUACACAUUUUGCUUUUUUCAUCCAUAAUAGAUACACUUAUUUUCAUAUAAAAAUUUUUACAUAAUAUGACAUUUCACCAGAACUAUGUUUUGAUUUCAAGUAUGUUGUGUUUAAGAUAUUUGAAGAACAAGCACUUUGAGAAACUUAGAAAAAUGCUUUGUAAGUGGUAAUGUGUUACAUGAAGUUUCCUUAUUAUUAGAUUUUAUUUUGGCAAACAUCUGAGACAUUCAUUAGCAGAGUCACUGGCUUUGAUGUUUCAUUUACAGAUUCCUUAUGCUGAUGUUUGGAUUUAAAAUGAUCAGACACCUAAUAAAGUCUCUCCACCCCCAA
RNAcentral lists this long non-coding RNA (996 nucleotides) under Marmota monax (woodchuck). The record is from RNAcentral. Lineage: Eukaryota; Metazoa; Chordata; Mammalia; Rodentia; Sciuridae.